Molecule: long non-coding RNA, 1811 nt
Organism: Lolium rigidum
Lineage: Eukaryota; Viridiplantae; Streptophyta; Magnoliopsida; Poales; Poaceae
Exons: 4
Source: RefSeq, a predicted model, not a curated record
GACGUGGAGAAUCUGCUCUGGCGGCUUCGAGCGGUACCAGGACGCGGAUGAUCUGCUCCGGCGGUCUGAAGCGGCAUCGGGGACCUGACCUGUCGUGUCUUCCUCUGCUUCUCUGUUCCACAUCUGCUUGAGUUGAAUGCGGGCGUCUCGCUAGGCUGUGCUCCGUGUCCGCCGCGUCCGCCAUCUCUGCUGUACCCUGAUUUUGCAGGUUCCUACAUUGCAUCAGGUCCCCAUGCUCCCGUCGUCUCCAUGGUCCCUGCAGGGACAUGGCACUGUACGUGCUCAGGGUGGGGGCAUGUGGCAAGGAGCUCCACACAGACGGGCAGUCGCACAAGGUUUUUACCAGUAGCUGACUAGGAAAUCGAAGUGAAUGGCCAAGAUCACUUCGUAUGGAAAUGAAGACCUGGUUAGUUUACUAGGCAAUUUUAUAUCCCUAAUCUCUCUGUUCGUACAUACUUCUUGAUUUCAGUAUAUUUGCAUCCGAUCUAUCCUGCCUUUUCUCAUCCAGGUUAGUUUCAUUCUAUUCAACUGUGCCAGCAAUGCCAACAGCCCUGCUAAAAUAUGUGUCAAAGGCUCAAAGCAGACACAUCGCUGGAAACUCCUUGUGCAUUUAGGUCGAAUCUGGGAAAACAGAAACCGAGAAAUUGGAAAGGUUACAUAUGAACUAGGUUUCUUCAUGGUAGAUCGCCAGGAAGGAAUUAUGUAAGGUAAAAUUGCACAGAGCAGUUUAAAGAACUGAAAGAAGGUGUAUUUAUAAAUAUUAACAAUUCAUCAUCGGGGAAGAUUGGGAUUCGAGAGGAGGCUUUGGCGUUGGAAGGCGUUUUUAUUGAAUUGACUGAAUUCGAUAGAGAGAUGAAGAGAUUUUGAUGUCUCAAACAUUGCUUCGUACUUUUCCAGUGUGAAAACCAGAUAUAUUUCCUUCACUUAACAUAUCUAGUAAGUGGUAAUGACGACACAAGUUCAUCGCCUCUUUGCUGAAGGUGCUGUCUCAUUGGUUGAACUUGGCUCUUUCAAAGAUGAAAAUACAUGAUCAGUCCUUUGCGGGUUGGAUUCAGCAACUUCGGUGUGUGUGCAUCCUGCUUCCUGAAUAUAUGGGCCAUUUGGCUUCCUAAGGGACAUAUGAUUAAUUGGCAUUUACUGGUUGGGCUGACCAUGCUCUUGGACAUGAUUAAUGUUUGAAGGCAAUGUUUUCCUAACGAUACACUGCCUCUUCUGGCCUCUAUUGGUAUCCGCAUGUACACUAACAUUUUUGUUUGUGUGCAUCAUCAGGAUGUAAACGCUCAUACAGUCAUACCCCGCAAAAAAGAUGCAAACGCUCAUCCUGGAGAGCACUGCCAUUUUGAGGAACAUAACUGCUGCUGUCCCGGAGAGCACUGACACUUUGAGGAACGGUGGCUGACGGUGAGGGUGAGCUUCAAAAAGGAGCAGAAACUCUUUGAUGUUCUGCAGCCCUGGUGAUGCUAACUGGCUGGUCGCUUUGGAAACAACGCAACGCAAGAGUGUUCAAUAACCCCAUGAGGCAAUGCAAUCCCCAUGAGGCAACGCAAGAGUGUUGACUGACCACAUCCUGGAGAAGCUCAGUAGCUGGGUUAGCACAGGUGUCGGAGGGAGAAAAGAGAAACUAUGCACUGAGUAGCUAGUUUUAGAGUUUAGGUGGGUGUGUUGCUCAUCCCUUUGUUCACAAAGUGGUUUCGACUCUUGUAAAUAGUUUCUAUCUUCCAUAAAGCUAUGGUAUGCCUUUGGCAUAAUCUCGCAAAAAAGAUUUCAAAAUCAUAGGAAUGGAAAAAAGGCAGGAUCCAUGUCGCUAAAAU